GAGGCUUAAGUUUAACUAAAGUGUCUGUUUGCAUGCAGCAGAUGUGGGGAAGCAUCCCGCAGGUCUUA
RNAcentral lists this transfer RNA (68 nucleotides) under Melanostigma atlanticum. RNAcentral's name for it is "tRNA-Ala". Lineage: Eukaryota; Metazoa; Chordata; Actinopteri; Perciformes; Zoarcidae. The record is from RNAcentral.